Molecule: ribosomal RNA, 515 nt
Filed under: uncultured bacterium
Lineage: Bacteria
Description: bacterial SSU rRNA
Rfam family: Bacterial small subunit ribosomal RNA
Source: RNAcentral
GAGUUUGAUCCUGGCUCAGGACGAACGCUGGCGGCGUGCCUAACACAUGCAAGUCGAACGAAGCUUGAAUUCAGAUUUCUUCGGAAUGAAGAAUGAUAUGACUGAGUGGCGGACGGGUGAGUAACGCGUGAGCAACCUGCCCUUCGGAGGGGGAUAGUGUCUGGAAACGGACAGUAAUACCGCAUAACGUAUUUUUACCGCAUGAUAGAAAUACCAAAACUGAGGUGCCGAAGGAUGGGCUCGCGUUGGAUUAGAUAGUUGGUGGGGUAACGGCCUACCAAGUCAACGAUCCAUAGCCGGACUGAGAGGUUGAACGGCCACAUUGGGACUGAGACACGGCCCAGACUCCUACGGGAGGCAGCAGUGGGGAAUAUUGCACAAUGGGGGAAACCCUGAUGCAGCAACGCCGCGUGAAGGAAGACGGUUUUCGGAUUGUAAACUUCUGUUCUUAGUGAAGAAAAAUGACGGUAGCUAAGGAGCAAGCCACGGCUAACUACGUGCCAGCAGCCGCGGUA